GGUGAAUACGUUCUCGAGUCUUGUACUCACCGCCCGUCACACCAAGGGAGCCGGGAGUGGGUGAAGUCCAGCUCUGCUGGGUCAGCCCAAGCUCGGUGACACGGGUGAAGUCGUAACAAGGCACGCGUAGCGGAAGCUGUGCGUGGACCA
Molecule: ribosomal RNA, 150 nt
Filed under: Candidatus Brennerbacteria bacterium
Lineage: Bacteria; Candidatus Brenneribacteriota
Description: partial 16S ribosomal RNA
Rfam family: Bacterial small subunit ribosomal RNA
Source: RNAcentral